Molecule: small RNA, 131 nt
Filed under: Citrobacter sp. Cpo086
Lineage: Bacteria; Pseudomonadati; Pseudomonadota; Gammaproteobacteria; Enterobacterales; Enterobacteriaceae
Also listed under: 1 other name
Description: RtT sRNA
Rfam family: RtT RNA
About the family: This family represents a bacterial cis-regulatory element known as RtT RNA. The exact function of RtT is unknown although it is thought that it may be involved in changing the cellular response in relation to amino acid starvation.
Source: RNAcentral
UAUCCUGCCCAUGCGGGAAGGAUGAGAAGCUUCGACUAAGGUUCGAUUCGAGCGUAGCGAGAAAGCGUUGCCGCAGGCAACGACCCGAAGGGCGAAGCGCGCAGCGCUGAGUAAUCCUUCCCCCACCACCA